Long non-coding RNA from Helianthus annuus (common sunflower), 2450 nucleotides. RefSeq lists it as uncharacterized. The record is from RefSeq and is a predicted model, not a curated record. The transcript has 4 exons. Lineage: Eukaryota; Viridiplantae; Streptophyta; Magnoliopsida; Asterales; Asteraceae.
CUUCUAUAAGAAUUACACCUUAAGAAUACUCUAGGCAGUGUUAUUACCAUGGUUACGUUACUUAAAUUAAUAAUACGAAGAAGAGAAUAAUGAGAAAACAACUAAAAGACAAAAUAUAAGGGAAUACAAUAAACAAAGUCAUAAAAUCGUUUUACAAGAAGCUGUUCAUAUAAAUAGUCUUUCUUUUGAAUAUUUUAGGGACUAGCGGACAGGAUAAAUGAGGUCUUGAACAAGAAGAAGAAGGAUGAACACAUGGAUACUGACUUAACACUAAGGGUGCAAACGAGCCGAGCCGAGCUCGAGCUUGACUAGGCUCGAGCUCGAUUAACUUUAUGUCAGCUCGGGCUCGAGCUCGGCUCGAUUCGAGCUUUGUUUUCAAGGCUCGAGCUCGGCUCGUUUGUAUUUUCUCAAGCUCAAGCUUGAGCUCGGCUCGGGCUCGGCUCGUUUAUUAUUUAUUAAUUAAUAUAUUAAAUAAAGACAAUAUAAAUAAUAGACUUUUUAGACUCAUGAGCUCGAUAAGUGAAGCUCGGACUCGAGCUCGUUUACUAAAUAAGCUUAUUUUUAGGUUCGAGGUCGGCUUGUAAACAAGUUUGAAUAAGCUCGGCUCGACUCGGCUCGUUUACACUAAGGCUCGAUAAGGCUCGACGAGCCUAACGAGCUUCACAUGCGAGGCUCGAGCUCGGGCUCGAUAAACAAAUGAGCUUUAUUUUAGGCUCAAGCUCGGCUCGGGCUCGAUAAGGCUCGGCUCGUUUCGAGCUUUUUCUCGAGCCGAUCUCGCUCGCGAGCCGCUCGGCUCGUUUGCACCCCUACUUAACACGCACUGAUAUCGCAUCAAACAUUCCAGACAUUUCAAUUUAAGAGGAGUAAAUCUCUCUGGGCUUGAUCUUUCUAACCUGGUAUGGUCAAAUACAUUUUGUAAUGCGAGUAUGCGACUCAAGAUUAAUUGUCAAAUCAUGUGUAUUACAAAUUUGUAAGAUACUUGAUGUUAGUUUAAUCUCUUAAUUUUAGAAGUAUGAAUUUGUUAUUGUUUUUGUUUCAUUAUGUGAUUCUUUGUGGCCAUUGUAGAUAAAAAAUUUAGUUAGCUAUCAUGACCUAGACAAAUAGAAAGUCACAACAUGCCAGUAGUAAAUGUUUUACUAAACUUAUUUUUCCCGUUAUUACUUAUGCACGACUUCUCGGGUUUUGACUUGAGCGGUGCAUGCCUCAAAAACGUUAUCUUAUCAAGUGCUAAUCUUCGUUGUGCUAAAUUUCAUUAAAAGUUUUGGGAAAAAUUUUUGACUUGGUAUGUUUUGAUUCACAGGGGCUAGUCUCAAUUCUGCUAGUCUUAUCAAUGCAAAUUUACAAGGCAAUAAUCUCUUAUUUUCAAUCUGUUAAAUUCACUUUUAGAUGCUUGCCUGAUAAAGUGUUCUUUCAACAGGGUAGACCUGCAACUUGCACAUCUCCAGGCUGCUGAUCUAACGGGUGCAUAUUUGGAGGGAGCCAAUCUAGAAGUAGCCCAUCUAGAAGUAGCCCAUCUAGAAGGAGCCAAUUUAAAGGUUUAUUAAAUAUUAAAUGUUUAAGUUUGAAGAGUUGAACUUAGUUAUCGUGCGGCUUUUCUGCUGCGAUGUGCAUACAAUACAGUGCUGCUGCUGAGGCGUUCGUGUGGUGCAGUCGCCACUGUUGCGUGCUUCGCUGCUGCUGCGGCUGUUUGAUGAGCUUGAUUAACCGCUAGCAUUAACUUUUUAUCUCUCCUCUUAAUAAAUCAAUAAUCAUAGGGAGCUUGCAAAAGAUUUUGUGGUGGCUGGUACUGCAUCAGAGUCUCUAUAUCGGUAAAGGAACUGGGUCAAUUGGUCAAAUUGGUCGAUGCUUAUUACCCAAUCCUAAAAAGCGCAAGCCGGUUUCGACUUAGGCUCGUAAGAUUUAAACUAAUAAAAUUGGUGAGCCAAGCUCAAGCCAAGAUUUGACUUGUUUAAGCGAUAUUAAAGCGAGCUCAAGCUGAGCUUUUAGCUUAUUUGAGACAAUAUCCAUUUAUCUUCUAGCACUUGAAUUGUAGCUUACAAUUGGAUAUUGUUAUCUUUACAACCAACUUGACCCGUUAUUAGUUUUCAUUAAUUUUGAAUUCUUUGAUUUAAUUCAUUGGUUGUUUUGUAGAUUGAAAAGUUGAACUUAGUUAUUAAGGAGCUCGUUAAGGAAAAUGAUGAAGAAAAAGAAAGGCUAAAUGGAAUUAUUGCCGGGUUGUUGGCUGAAAAAGAAAAAGAUAAGGUGGAUAAAUAUGCUAUGCUCGAUACGAUGUCACAAAUUGAAGCUAUGUUAACAAGUACAAUUUGAAGAUAGGCUACAAACACUUGGUUUUGAAUGUUUAUCGUAUUAGGAUUUUUUAGUUAUUUGAUGUUUUAGCUGGUAUUCUAUCAGAAUGUUUUAUACGCUUUUGAUACACAUGUUUUAUAUAAUUUUGGGUUUUCGUGAUCUUA